GUCCACGCCGUAAACGAUGUGUGCUGGAUGUUGGGCAGUCUGACUGUUCAGUGUCGUAGCUAACGCGAUAAGCACACCGCCUGGGGAGUACGGCCGCAAGGUUGAAACUCAAAGGAAUUGACGGGGGCCCGCACAAGCGGUGGAGCAUGUGGUUUAAUUCGACGCAACGCGCAGAACCUUACCAGGACUUGACAUGGAGGGGACGCGUACAGAGAUGUACGUUCCCGCGAGGGCCCCUUGCACAGGUGCUGCAUGGCUGUCGU
RNAcentral lists this ribosomal RNA (263 nucleotides) under uncultured bacterium. RNAcentral's name for it is "partial 16S ribosomal RNA". It matches the Rfam family "Bacterial small subunit ribosomal RNA", at positions 793 to 1055 of the family's 1533-position model. The record is from RNAcentral.